Molecule: long non-coding RNA, 851 nt
Organism: Bos taurus (domestic cattle)
Lineage: Eukaryota; Metazoa; Chordata; Mammalia; Artiodactyla; Bovidae
Source: Ensembl
GACAGACUUCAGACUCUGUUUAAGGAGAGUUUAAGCAGAAGUGGAACAUGAUGAAAUAUGAGAGGUGCAAGUUUUAGAAAUGCUCACCCAAUCCUGGUCUAAGGAAUGGAUUCCAGAGGAGACCCAAAAGCAGCUGUUCUCAGAGCCAGAGAGGGCCUAUUGAAUGGUUGGGACUUUCUCUAUUUGUCACAGUGACUUGGAAUCCUACUGGCACUUCUUGGAUGGGAACAGGACAGUCCCAUACAAGGAGGAAUUAUUCCGUGUCCCAUUGGACUCUCAAAGGACCCACUGGACAUUCAGGAAGAAAGCUACGUUGCCUUUGGAACCUCUAAAGUCGGGAGAGACAUUCCAAUUUCCCUUCUGGCCUGGAGGAACACAAGCUUAAUGUAGCUUGCAGGAAGCCUGAUUUCAGCUAGCUUUAACACCCCCAGAAGGAGUUCAAAUGUGAAAGAACAGCACUUUCCCUUUUAGGAGGCCCAUCUUAUCACAGACAACAGGGACAGGUUCUUUACUGCAAGUGCCACCUGAGAAGGCCAAAGUCAACUUCACCCAAAUCUUAAUCUGAGACCAGUGAACACAACUUCCCACAGGGAAGAUCACAGGGAAGAUCAGAGAGCAGCGACCAGCGGAAGAUGGAAUGGAUCCCGGGCAGACAAAGCCAACAGAUGGGCGUUGAUAGAUCCAGGACUAAAUGAAAACAGGGCUCCACAAACACGGAGAAGGAGUCCUCAUUGAGAGCAAAGACUUCCAUUUAUCUACAGAGAGAGAAUGAUACAAUGAUAUCAAAAUGCACCCACUUUUCAGCCAUUCAAGAAGGAAAAGAUUUGAAUGAGAAGUCCCAGUGCUAACUG